This 72-nucleotide transfer RNA is filed under the name Ictidomys tridecemlineatus (thirteen-lined ground squirrel). RNAcentral's name for it is "Spermophilus tridecemlineatus (thirteen-lined ground squirrel) tRNA". It matches the Rfam family "tRNA". From Rfam's summary of the family: Transfer RNA (tRNA) molecules are approximately 80 nucleotides in length. The record is from Rfam by way of RNAcentral. Lineage: Eukaryota; Metazoa; Chordata; Mammalia; Rodentia; Sciuridae.
GGGGAUGUUGCUCAAUGGUAGAGCACUUGCUUAGCAAGCACAAGACCCUGGGUCUGAUCCCCAGCAACACAA